Molecule: non-coding RNA, 72 nt
Organism: Podarcis lilfordi (Lilford's wall lizard)
Lineage: Eukaryota; Metazoa; Chordata; Lepidosauria; Squamata; Lacertidae
Source: the annotation of a GenBank genome assembly
CCUUAGAGACCAACUAAGUUUGUUAUUGGUAUGAGCUUUCGUACAAAUAACAAACUUAGUUGGUCUCUAAGA